This 253-nucleotide ribosomal RNA is filed under the name uncultured bacterium. RNAcentral describes it as "partial 16S ribosomal RNA". It matches the Rfam family "Bacterial small subunit ribosomal RNA", at positions 524 to 776 of the family's 1533-position model. The record is from RNAcentral.
UACGGAGGGAGCUAGCGUUGUUCGGAAUUACUGGGCGUAAAGCGCACGUAGGCGGCUUUGUAAGUUAGAGGUGAAAGCCCGGGGCUCAACCCCGGAAUUGCCUUUAAGACUGCAUCGCUUGAAUCCGGGAGAGGUGAGUGGAAUUCCGAGUGUAGAGGUGAAAUUCGUAGAUAUUCGGAAGAACACCAGUGGCGAAGGCGGCUCACUGGACCGGCAUUGACGCUGAGGUGCGAAAGCUAGGGGAGCGAAUGGG